RNAcentral lists this ribosomal RNA (465 nucleotides) under uncultured bacterium. Its description in RNAcentral is "partial 16S ribosomal RNA". It matches the Rfam family "Bacterial small subunit ribosomal RNA", at positions 28 to 507 of the family's 1533-position model. The record is from RNAcentral.
GACGAACGCUGGCGGCGUGCUUAACACAUGCAAGUCGUACGGUAAGGCCCUUUCGGGGGUACACGAGUGGCGAACGGGUGAGUAACACGUGAGUAACCUGCCCACAACUUUGGGAUAACGCUAGGAAACUGGUGCUAAUACUGGAUAUGUGCUCCUGCUGCAUGGUGGGGGUUGGAAAGCUCCGGCGGUUGUGGAUGGACUCGCGGCCUACCAGCUUGUUGGUGGGGUAGUGGCCUACCAAGGCGGCGACGGGUAGCCGGCCUGAGAGGGUGACCGGCCACAUUGGGACUGAGAUACGGCCCAGACUCCUACGGGAGGCAGCAGUGGGGAAUAUUGCACAAUGGGCGCAAGCCUGAUGCAGCAACGCCGCGUGCGGGAUGACGGCCUUCGGGUUGUAAACCGCUUUCAGCAGGGACGAAGCUUUUUGUGACGGUACCUGCAGAAGAAGCACCGGCUAACUACGUG